Molecule: ribosomal RNA, 482 nt
Filed under: uncultured bacterium
Lineage: Bacteria
Description: bacterial SSU rRNA
Rfam family: Bacterial small subunit ribosomal RNA
Source: RNAcentral
UUGAACGCUGGCGGAAUGCUUUACACAUGCAAGUCGAGCGGCAGCGCGGGGGCAACCUUGGCGGCGAGCGGCGAACGGGUGAGUAACAUAUCGGAACGUACCCAGACGUGGGGGACAACUAGUCGAAAGACUAGCUAAUACCGCAUACGUCCUGAGGGAGAAAGCGGGGGAUCGCAAGACCUCGCGCGUUUGGAGCGGCCGAUAUCUGAUUAGCUAGAUGGUGGGGUAAAGGCUCACCAUGGCGACGAUCAGUAGCUGGUCUGAGAGGAUGAUCAGCCACACUGGAACUGAGACACGGUCCAGACUCCUACGGGAGGCAGCAGUGGGGAAUUUUGGACAAUGGGGGAAACCCUGAUCCAGCCAUUCCGCGUGAGUGAAGAAGGCCUUCGGGUUGUAAAGCUCUUUCGGCCGGGAAGAAAUCGUGGUCUCUAACAUAGGCCAUGGAUGACGGUACCGGACUAAGAAGCACCGGCUAACUACGU